Molecule: long non-coding RNA, 1115 nt
Organism: Mastomys coucha (southern multimammate mouse)
Lineage: Eukaryota; Metazoa; Chordata; Mammalia; Rodentia; Muridae
Exons: 2
Source: RefSeq, a predicted model, not a curated record
ACCAGCAUAGUCAUUCUCAUAGUGGCAGUCACCGUCACCAUCUUGGCAUUUACUUUGGGUUGUGCUACAGCAAAAACAUAAGAGAAGAAAAUCUAUGCAGACAUGAAUAUAUUUUACACUUCCAAACUCAGCCUGGCAGAGAUUGGCAUUGGACAGACCACCAAGUGCUUGAAGAAACAGUGACUCCUAGUCCCUUUUGCCGUAGACUUAGACACCAAGCAGUCAAUAACGUCCAGGGAAACAGAAGUGGCUUCUCUCUCCCAGGCACAGAAAGAGCCCAGCACAGUACAGUUCCACUGGGACCAGGACCAAGUCCCUGCUGGGUCCUUUGAGUGUUACCUCAUCUAUGAUGGCAGCUGUCCUUACUCUCUGGCACUGUUGUCCUGCGAGAAGAGAGAAAGCACCUGGAAAGCUGAGGACAAGAGACCUGUCACAAAGGCAGCUACGUACGUCGAGGCAGUCUCCAAGCUGGAAAGAUCUGAGUCCCAUUCCUGCUGCUGAAUUCCAGAGUGCACUCCAGUGACCAAGUCUACCACUGAACUACCAGAAAUAUCCCAGAGGAGUCUUCCUCGCACCCUGAACAAGCAGCCUUGCCAUGGGUGUGGGCACAUAGGAUGGACUUCAAAAUGCUAUUAGAUUCUUGUUACAGGCCUUCAGCAGGUCUCCUGCAGAUACCCCAUCAAGAGUUCCUUGCUAAAGAGGUCAUUGGACUCCGUGUUACUCACUGCCAGGCAUCAACGGAAAAAAAACUGAGCCAAUCCUGGAUGAGACUCAUAGAUACCUGCAGCUUCAGGGAUCCCAAGUGGUGAAUUCAGAAGCCCUGAGAGCCCACAUCCAAGGCAGAAGAGCCAGAAGGACAUAAGGGCAACAAACAAUGAUGAUCUCCUUCCACAGCCAGCUCAAGAGCACAGGCCAUCAGCAAGGGUCUGGAUCUGGACUACAGCCUCUGUACAAAAUGAGCAUAGGAUUCCUGCUGCUUUUACCCACCCUCUAAUCCAAAGGACUUUCUACUUGCCCUCUGGGGUAGGGGGAAGUAGCAAAACAACCCCUGCUAAGAGACAUGCCCUGCUCAUGGACAAAGUCCUCAGGGAUUAUAAAAACAGUUUCUCUAGUAA